GGUUAUGGGCUAUAGGGUGGUCAAACGAAAGGUUUAGGCUCAAAGUGGGCGACUAGGGGAUUUAUUUGGGUAAGGAUGGACAAAUGGUUUUAAAAGAAAAGGUUUACCUAAUGCCUUAAUCAUUCUCGUGCUUGUAUUCGGUCUAUGGUCUCAAACGUAUCAAAAGUUGCAAGUUCUACAAUAUAUGACUAAUGGUCCACUCAAACAAAGAAACAUAGGUAUGUAAUCUAUGAUAUAAAAGUGGCUCAAAAUCUCACAUAUCUAAAAGGGUAUGGUAUGUGACAUGCAUAAAAUACUAGUUUCUUAGGCGGAUUAUUCCCAAAUAACCACCCGCUAAAUACCCGUAAUGCUAUUAAUUUGAACUUGACCAUGACAAAAGACCAAAUGGGUUGUGACAUCCCUCGUUGACUUUAGUUACUUGUGCUUUUAAGAUCGCUUUUGAAACAAGAUAUUUUUGAAUUUUUUUUGAAAUUUUCCCCCAUCCCCACACUUGAGGUAAACAUUGUCCUCAAUGUGUAGUGUUUAAAUGAACGGGUCAAAAAUCUAAAACUUUUACUACUCUCCUAUCCCCACACUUGAGGUGAACAUUGUCCUCAAUGUGUAGGAACUAGAGUUUUUAAAGCACACAAGGGACGUGACACGACUAACUUCCCCAAAAUUUCACCCCGAAAAAAUAAUAUACAAUUUACAAUCCACUUAUUUGCUAACUAAAAAUCAAAAGUAAAAAGAAACGUAUGCACCUGAUUUUUGAGCUCAUUCCUCGUGUUCUCUUCUUCUCUUCAUGAGAGCGGUUGUCCCACGAACCCAAUGUACCUACAAAUCUUAACCCUUGUUUCUACCAAUUUUAUGAAAAUAUUACCAAGCCAUACGUUAUUUCACUUUGAUUUAUGUGGAAAAUAA
This 900-nucleotide long non-coding RNA is filed under the name Helianthus annuus (common sunflower). RNAcentral describes it as "hypothetical non coding rna". Lineage: Eukaryota; Viridiplantae; Streptophyta; Magnoliopsida; Asterales; Asteraceae. The record is from RNAcentral.